UACAGAGGGGGCAAGCGUUGUUCGGAAUUACUGGGCGUAAAGGGCGCGUAGGCGGCCUGUUAAGUCGGACGUGAAAUCCCUGGGCUCAACCCAGGAACUGCGUCCGAUACUGGCAGGCUUGAAUCCGGGAGAGGGAUGCGGAAUUCCAGGUGUAGCGGUGAAAUGCGUAGAUAUCUGGAGGAACGCCGGUGGCGAAGGCGGCAUCCUGGACCGGCAUUGACGCUGAGGCGCGAAAGCCAGGGGAGCAAACGGG
This 253-nucleotide ribosomal RNA is filed under the name uncultured bacterium. Its description in RNAcentral is "partial 16S ribosomal RNA". It matches the Rfam family "Bacterial small subunit ribosomal RNA", at positions 524 to 776 of the family's 1533-position model. The record is from RNAcentral.